AUGGAAAGCUGGCGGCAUGCUUUACACAUGCAAGUCGAACGGCAGCGGGUAUGUGCUUGCUUCUCUGCCGGCGAGUGUCGUACGGGUGAGUAAUAUAUCGGAACGUGUCUAGAUGAGGGGGUGAAUCACCCGAAAGGGUGGCUAAUACCGCAUAAAUGUGGUGGAAGAAAGCUGGGGACCUAGGAAGUGGCUUUGUUCGUGUUGAGCUGUCGUUGUCGGAUGAGCUAGUUGGUGAGGUAAAGGCUCACCAAGGCGAAGAUCUGUAGCGGGUCUGAGAGGAUGAUCCGCCACACUGGGACUGAGACACGGCCCAGACUCCUACGGGAGCACGCAGUGGGCACAUUUGGACAAUGGGGGCAACCCUGAUCCAGCCAUGCCGCGUGUCAGAAGAAGGAAUUAGGGUUGUAAAGUACUUUUGUUAGGGAAGACAAAAAAGCUGUGAAUAAUGGCUGAUACUGACGGUACCUAAAGAAUAAGCACCGGCUAACUACGUG
This 494-nucleotide ribosomal RNA is filed under the name uncultured bacterium. Its description in RNAcentral is "partial 16S ribosomal RNA". It matches the Rfam family "Bacterial small subunit ribosomal RNA", at positions 31 to 507 of the family's 1533-position model. The record is from RNAcentral.